UACGUAGGGGGCAAGCGUUGUCCGGAUUUAUUGGGCGUAAAGAGCGUGUAGGCGGCCAGGUAGGUCGGUUGUGAAAACUGGAGGCUCAACCUUCAGAGGUCGACCGAAACCAUCUGGCUAGAGUCCGGGAGAGGAGAGUGGAAUUCCUGGUGUAGCGGUGAAAUGCGCAGAUAUCAGGAGGAACACCGAUUGCGAAGGCAGCUCGCUGGGACGUCACUGACGCUGAGACGCGAAAGCGUGGGGAGCAAACAGG
RNAcentral lists this ribosomal RNA (253 nucleotides) under uncultured bacterium. Its description in RNAcentral is "partial 16S ribosomal RNA". It matches the Rfam family "Bacterial small subunit ribosomal RNA", at positions 524 to 776 of the family's 1533-position model. The record is from RNAcentral.